RNAcentral lists this unclassified non-coding RNA (254 nucleotides) under uncultured Patescibacteria group bacterium. RNAcentral describes it as "contains 16S-23S intergenic spacer region". It matches the Rfam family "Bacterial small subunit ribosomal RNA", at positions 524 to 776 of the family's 1533-position model. The record is from RNAcentral.
UACGUGGGUCCCAAGCGUUACCCGGUGUUAUUGGGCGUAAAGAGUUCUGUAGGCGGUUUUGUAAGUUGGGGGUUAAAUCCCAAUGCUCAACAUUGGAACAGCUCUCAAAACUGUAAAACUAGACACACGGAGAGGAAGCUAGAAUUUGUGGAGGAGUAGUGAAAUGCGUUGAUCUCACAAAGAAUACCAAAGGCGUAAGCAAGCUUCUGGACGUGUUGUGACGCUGAGAGACGAAAGCGUGAGUAGCGAAAAGG